GAUGAACGCUGGCGGCGUGCCUAAUACAUGCAAGUCGAGCGAACAGACGAGGAGCUUGCUCCUCUGACGUUAGCGGCGGACGGGUGAGUAACACGUGGAUAACCUACCUAUAAGACUGGGAUAACUUCGGGAAACCGGAGCUAAUACCGGAUAAUAUAUUGAACCGCAUGGUUCAAUAGUGAAAGACGGUUUUGCUGUCACUUAUAGAUGGAUCCGCGCCGCAUUAGCUAGUUGGUAAGGUAACGGCUUACCAAGGCAACGAUGCGUAGCCGACCUGAGAGGGUGAUCGGCCACACUGGAAUUGAGACACGGUCCAGAUUCCUACGGGAGGCGGCGGUAGGGAAUCUUCGGCAAUGGGCGAAAGCUUGCCGAGCAACGCCGCGUGAGUGAUGAAGGUCUUCGGAUCGUAAAACUCUGUUAUUAGGGAAGAACAAAUGUGUAAGUAACUAUGCACGUCUUGACGGUACCUAAUCAGAAAGCCACGGCUAACUACGUG
Molecule: ribosomal RNA, 496 nt
Filed under: uncultured bacterium
Lineage: Bacteria
Description: partial 16S ribosomal RNA
Rfam family: Bacterial small subunit ribosomal RNA
Source: RNAcentral